Long non-coding RNA from Panicum virgatum (switchgrass), 369 nucleotides. RefSeq lists it as uncharacterized. The transcript has 6 exons. The record is from RefSeq and is a predicted model, not a curated record. Lineage: Eukaryota; Viridiplantae; Streptophyta; Magnoliopsida; Poales; Poaceae.
AGGAGAGGAAGGGGGAAUACUUGGGAAAGACUGUCCAGGUAUUUUGGAUCACGUGAUGCGGACUUGAUUUUGUUUCAUCUGUCUGGGGGAUAUUGAAUCUAUGCCUUUUAUCGAAGUUUUGGGUCAAUUCUCCUAUCGUGUUGGUGCAUGUUAGUCUUGUUCCAGUUCUUAAUGUCGUUGGUGAGCAGAAAACAAAGCCGACUCAGCAUAGUGUACGUGGUUUAAGGGGACUUGGCUCACCCCAAAUAUUUUAGCUUGCCGCAGUACAAAGGAAUUGGAGGAUAAUGUGAAGGAGAAACUCUCCCAGUUCUGCCAUGUGCCGGAGUAGCGGUAGAAGGUCCACUUGACGGCAGGGGAGGACCUCGAGGC